Molecule: non-coding RNA, 273 nt
Organism: Solea senegalensis (Senegalese sole)
Lineage: Eukaryota; Metazoa; Chordata; Actinopteri; Pleuronectiformes; Soleidae
Product: small Cajal body-specific RNA 6
Exons: 1
Source: RefSeq, a predicted model, not a curated record
GGUCAAUGAUGUCAUGUAAAAGGUCUGAUUUCAGCUCCUCCCCCCUCAGCCGCCAUCUUGGCUCCCAGCAGCCUCUGUUCUCUCCCAUCCUGCUCUAGUGAGGCAGCGGUGGUCCCAGGGGUUGCUGACACACAGGAUGUGACCUCACGGUUCAAGUCUAUACCAAGAUCCUAUAGGCUCAGUGAUGACUGACAUCCAACAGAACCAAUCAGCAAGGAGUGUCAGGCUGAGGGGGCGGGGUCUGAGACAUGAUCUCACCGUGUUACUGAGGCC